AGGGGGUAAGCAUCUGGAGGUUGAAUGUUUGAAGGGGUACGGGACUAUAACAAGUUUGGGAACCACCAGUCUAGAAUAUUUAAUAUAGCUUUAGACAACAUGGUUCUAGGGCCAAAUAUUCUGUAUCACUGCCAUAUUAAUAGGCACACACAAUAGCAUGUAGACUAUCACAUCUGUAAUUAGGCAACAUGGUUCUGUUUGCCCAACAUGUGUCAUAUGAGCAAAGUGUAUAGCCUGCCGUGGUAAAGGAGGGGGGAACAAGUUUAAUGAGCAUUUCAUUGUGAUUUGUCAACAAUCGCGCUUCUAUGGCACCAGCUGCGAGUAAUGACACGCACGCACACCUGUCAGGCAGCAUUCCUUUUUGAUGAAAGCUGUCAGAAAGUUCAUCAUGCACGUUGCGUUGAAAUGCCUUGCGCUCUCGACAUACACCACGAUACCCGCUGGCUGACUGACCCGUUUAGCUGGACGGACCGUUUCUGCGAUGUGAGCGUGAAUAAUUAUAUGAGAGCGAGAGAGAUAAUUCCACCUGACUCUCUUCCGAGACCGUCCACCCCUGAAGCUAAGGAAGACAUCCUGAGAGAGUGUAAAGCCAGAAUAAGAGGCAGAAGCUGACACCUGGAGAAAUACAAGAGCGGCAGAACAAGGCUACCCAUAGCUGUCUCUCUGCCUGGUGGAAUUACGCACGAUGGACCAGGAAGAAGACUUUCUGGACUUCAAGUCCUUGAGGGCAAAGUUCCAGGAUGAGGAAGUGUUGCUGCUGAAGCAGCCCGGGACCAAAUCUGCUCUCCCUGAGAAACCUAAAGUCCUGCCUCCUCCUCAAAGCCCUACAAACUGCCUUCCUACCCUCAACUCCACAUCACAUACACCCUCCAACUCGCACUUCCUACCGCGCGGUGCUCGACCUUCCCUCCUCUCCUCCCUUCAGGGGCCGGGUGGCAUCGCAUCCAGAGUCGUCAAGGAGGAGAAGAAGGUGAAGAGCAAAGACAAGGAUGAGGGGAAGGUGAAAUUACUAGGGAAAAAUAAGGCAGAGGUGAAGGCUGAUAAAGAGAAGUCGGAUGAAAGGAUGAAUGGAGGGAAAGAUAUUGUAGAAGUAGUGGUGAGGUCAGAUCUGCUGGACCAGAAACAGAAGAAAGAAGCAGACCUGGCCAUGAAGAACAAGAAGGUGUCCCUGCUGUCCCCUGGGGGGUCUAAGGGGGGUAGUGUUGAGCUGGUAGACAUGUCACCACCACCCAUAAACACAACAAAGAAGAAGGGUUUUCUGGGCAUCGGGAAGUCAGUGAAAACAGGGAAGAAGAGGAAAGAGGGGAGAGUUGAGCUUCUUCCUUUCCCCAUACUGGACAUAGCCAGCCCAGACCUGGCUGACCCUGAACCUCUCAUGCCUCUAACCACCUUCGGAACCCCAGCCCCCCUUGGUGAUAUACCUAUACGUACCGUCAUUAUCCCACCUUCCCCAGCAGUACACAAUGUUCACUUACCCUCUGCCUCGAUACCUGCCCCAGUACUAGAUUCCCCCUUACCCCUGGAGCUGACUCAUAACCCAGUAUUUACCCUGUUACCCCCCACCCUGAAACCUGCACCAGCAGCUGAAGCCAUUACAGUCGUUACACCACCUAACCCCAUCCCAGUGAUCCCUGACCCUCCUAUCAUUGAUCACAUUCCUGAAACCCUCAGUCUUAAACCCUCAGCUGAAACCAUCCCAGCCCCCACCCUGCCAGUAUCAGUCCGCCCUACCCCUUCCCCUGUUACUGCCCCAUUCAGCCCAAUACCAGCUCCCCCAGUCACCCAUAUACUCCCUGCUGUCCCCUCCCCACCUACAAUCUCUACCUCCACCCCACCUCCACCUGUUAUUGCCACUCCAUCCCCACCCCCUGACCCUACCCCCUCUCCUCCUCCUCCUCCCCCUACACCUCCAGCUGCUGAACUUGACCCUGAGUCUGUAGUAGUGGAUAUUGCUGUUAUAGUCAAGACCUCUGCCUCUCGACUUCCCUCUCACACCCCCCCUCCCCCGGCUGGUGACCCCUCAGUCGCACCCCCGUCCCUCCAGCCUGAGAGGCCCGUGGGAGUCCAGGAACGGCCACUCUCGGCCCUGUUGGCUCUAGGACGAGCAGAAGAGAUGAGUCCACCAAAAAAAAGAGGAUCAGAGAUAAUCUUCAAUGCGCUGGAGAAAGCUAAGAGGACGCUCACCAGCCCUCUUAUGACCCCCAUCCCCUCCAGACCUAUCACACCCACCAUAGAGGACCUAACCCCACCCCCCCACAGUCCUAGCCCCACCCCGGUGAAAUCGCUACCUGAGCUCCCACCAAUCGACUACGAUGACCAGGCAGGGGCGGCGGCCCCUACAACCCUGAUACCGGCCCUAGUCAAAGGUAUUGACAUUAGGCAGGCGCCUCCUAUGUUGGAGGGGAUAGCAGAGAAGGGUGCAAGGGACCUCCUACCAGACCUGUUUGUGGUGCCCCCUCCUCCCCCAAGAAAGUGCCUCCCAGAGGCCUCCACCCGAGGAUCCCCGCCAGAGAAACCCCCCCAACUCCCCUCCGUGGACCUUACUGCCUAUGCUGUGGAGAUUCCUGUUCCUUCAGCUGAUUCUGCUCUCAACAUUCCUGAGUUUGAGGAUGUAGGAUCAGAUGUUCUGGAAUUGGAAGCCCCGGAGUUCCAGCCUGCAGACUUAGUGGAAUUAGGGGUGUCUAAGUGGGGAGCCCAGGCAGAAGACAGCACCAAUGAGAGCUGUGGCAAUGCCUAUGAGGACAUGCCCUCAGCCAAGCAGAAGGUCAAGGGUCAACCUACCAAGAAAAAGAAAGGAACAGCGAAGAGUAAGACACAGGCGCCUUACAACCCAUAUGCUGAGACUCAGCUUCCGACAGAAGAAACACCCAAGACUGACUUGUUCUUGAAGAAGACUGCCUCGGAAACCCCAGAUGAGAAACAAAUGAAAAAGAAAGAAAAACAAAGUUUGGAGAAGGAGAAGAAAGAACAGAAAGAAAGAGAGAGGAAAGAGCAGAAAGAGAGAGAGAAGAAAGAAAAUGAGAUGAAGAAGUUUAAGAUAACAGGUCAGAAGGAGGCUAUAUACCAGGCUACAGUGAUGGUAGCGUCUAAAGGACAUAAGAACGACCUGGCUGUGAAGAACGGGGACAUAGUCAGCAUCAUACGGACCACAAACUGCCCGAAAGGAAAAUGGCUGGCCAGGAACAGCACUAAUACAUAUGGAUACAUCUCAGUGAGCGACGUGGAUCUGGACAUUAAGGAGAUGUUGGAAAUGGGGAAGAGGGCUUCUCGAGCCAUCAGCUGUAAAAACAUUACCACUAUGGUAGAACAGGGAGGAGGCGAGGUGGCCAGUAUGGACAGCAGGACACCCAAUCACUACCCAUUUCAGGAAGAUACAGGCAGCUUCACAGACGACAGUGAGGAGUGGGCACAUGAUGAUGAUGAUGAUGAACCUCUCUCCUCCCUCAUCGAGGAAGACCCCGCAGAGAGAGACCACAUCCAAACAAUGUCCAUGCCAGAGAUGGGUCACCAGGCUGCUCGUUAUGGAGCACACCUGUCACCAGCGUUACGAUAGUGACACUCACCUGGACUCCAUCACCUCCUUGAUUACCUGCCCUUUAUAUGUCACUCCAUUUGGUUUCUUCCCCAGUCAUCAUUGUUCUUGUUUCAUGUUGAUGCUCUGUUCGUGUUUCGUUCAUUUAUUUAUGAAACGGCUUCCCUCCCUGAACUUGCUUCCUGACUCUCAGCGUUACAGAAUGACAACUCAACAAAGGGAAGCAUCAGGGAGUGUUUUUUUGUGUUUGUUUUGGUGUUGGAGGUGAUGUUGAGUCAGGGUGUCCAAACCGGAGCUACCUGGGAGGCCUCCGGUUCCUCUGCGUCAGCUGGCCCGACGGGUUUCCAUACCUCAGCAGGCUCGAUAGGCUCCCGUGCCUCAGCUGAUGAACAGGUUCCCGUGCCUCUGCCGGUUCGUCAGGUUUCUUCGCCUCAGUGGAGGCGACCCGUCCGCUCUGGGUCCCCAGGAUCGUCCCUGUGGUUGGCAUCCUGCGGCUGGAGCCGGACACGCUGGCGAGGGGAUACUGUCACGUAUGCGCUCUCUCCGGCGCUCUAGUUCGUCAUGCUCCCGCACCUCAACCGGCUCGACAGGUUCCCGCGCCUUAGCAGAGGUGACCAGUCCACUCCUGAUCCCCGGGAUCAUCUUGGUCGGCGUCUGCCCUUCAUAUGUCACUCCCUUUGGUUUAUUCCCCAGUCGUCAUUGUUGCUGUUUCAUGUCUGCGCUAUUCGUGUUUUGUUCAUUUAUUAAUUAAAUGUAUUCACUCCCUGAACUUGCUUCCUGACUAUCAGCGAACAGCUUUACACUAACCUUCAAUUCCUGUUUUUCUUACAUUGUUUUUGUUCCUUAUGAAAGCCAGACUUUAGUUACAACUAUUGCUUGUUGGCUAUUAUUGUGUGCUUGUUCUUCCUCCAGGAAGCAGAGAGUCUAGCAUCCACAACCAACACCUAGUCAGUGACGCCAGCAUGGAUGGCAUUGACAUGCAGGUGAGACAUGAAGCACUUCAGAAGCUGGCCACUUUCUUCCACAAACCAGUUGUAGAGGAUCCCAUCAUGAGGCCCUAUGGACAUAGGAGGACAAGAGACGGUGUACCUGUUUAAAGAGGAGGCAGAUAUGGUGGUUCUUCCUCCU
Oncorhynchus mykiss (rainbow trout) is the source of this 4660-nucleotide non-coding RNA. The record is from RefSeq and is a predicted model, not a curated record. NCBI's taxonomy places the organism in Eukaryota, Metazoa, Chordata, Actinopteri, Salmoniformes, Salmonidae.